RNAcentral lists this ribosomal RNA (499 nucleotides) under uncultured bacterium. Its description in RNAcentral is "bacterial SSU rRNA". It matches the Rfam family "Bacterial small subunit ribosomal RNA", at positions 28 to 523 of the family's 1533-position model. The record is from RNAcentral.
GAUGAACGCUAGCGGCAGGCUUAAUACAUGCAAGUCGAGGGGCAGCACGGUUAGCAAUAACUGGUGGCGACCGGCGCACGGGUGCGUAACACGUAUACAAUCUACCUUAAACAGGGGGAUAGCCUUUCGAAAGAGAGAUUAAUACCCCGUAAUAAAUUGAACGGCAUCGUUUGAUUUUGAAAGCUCCGGCGGUUUGAGAUGAGUAUGCGUCUGAUUAGCUAGUUGGUGAGGUAACGGCUCACCAAGGCGACGAUCAGUAGGGGAUCUGAGAGGACUAACCCCCACACUGGUACUGAGACACGGACCAGACUCCUACGGGAGGCAGCAGUAAGGAAUAUUGGUCAAUGGAGGCAACUCUGAACCAGCCAUGCCGCGUGCAGGAUGACGGCCCUAUGGGUUGUAAACUGCUUUUAUACAAGAGAAAACCCGAGUACGUGUACUCGGUUGAUAGUAUUGUAAGAAUAAGCAUCGGCUAACUUCGUGCCAGCAGCCGCGGUAA